Molecule: long non-coding RNA, 820 nt
Filed under: Salmo salar (Atlantic salmon)
Lineage: Eukaryota; Metazoa; Chordata; Actinopteri; Salmoniformes; Salmonidae
Description: lncRNA (ENSSSAG00000118475.1)
Source: RNAcentral
ACUGAACUAUUGUAGCUUAGUCUCAUUUUGGUUGGAUGGACCCUACAGUGUUCUGUAACUGAACUAUUGUAGCUCAGUCUCAUUUUGGUUGGAUGGACCCUACAGUGUUCUGUAACUGAACUAUUGUAGCUCAGUCUCAUUUUGGUUGGAUGGACCCUACAGUGUUCUGUAACUGAGAGGGUUUGUGUAUUUGUUGUGUAUAACUAGUGUGACUCGUACAACCUGUGCUGCCUGCUUUGUCACUUUCAAAUGUCACUCCUCUCUCUUUAGAGGGAGGUAGCUACUAGCUAGGUAGCGUGUUGUGUUCCAGGCUAGAGGGUGGUAGCUAUUAGCUAGGUAGCGUAUUGUGUUCCAGGCUAGAGGGUGGUAGCUACUAGCUAGGUAGCGUGUUGUGUUCCAGGCUAGAGGGUGGUAGCUAUUAGCUAGGUAGCGUGUUGUGUUCCAGGCUAGAGGGUGGUAGCUACUAGCUAGGUAGCGUGUUGUGUUCCAGGCUAGAGGGAGGUAGCUACUAGCUAGGUAGCGUGUUGUGUUCCAGGCUAGAGGGUGGUAGCUACUAGCUAGGUAGCGUGUUGUGUUCCAGGCUAGAGGGUGGUAGCUACUGGCUACUGUUAGAUAUGUCAUGGAUAUAUGACGCUCACUCUCUCAGCUCACUGCAGGUUCUACAGGUUUACAUGCAGUGUGUCCUGCCAGUGCUUUCACACCACCAUCAACCAGGCUUUAAUGUAUCCAGAACGGUCACAGCGUCACACCAACUGCUAGGCUAAACUCCAUGAUCUCAACCUAUUGUUCACUCACACAUCCCCUCUUCAACACAGUGACC